CCCUUAGAAGUUCUGGGCUGCACGCGCGCGACACUGAUGCGCUCAAGGAGUUUACGACCUUGCCUGGAAAGGUUGGGUAAUCUUCUUAAAAAACAUCGUGAUGGAGCUAGAUUAUUGCAACUAUUAAUCUUCAACGAGGAAUUCCUAGUAAGCGCGAGUCAUCAGCUCGUGCUGAUUACGUCCCUGCCCUUUGUACACACCGCCCGUCGCUCCUACCGAUUGCGUGCUACUGAAUAAUUCGGACUGCAGCAACGUUCGGUUCCUGAAUGUCGCAGUGGAAAGUUUAGUGAACCUUAUCACUUAGAGAAAAAAAAAGUCGUAACA
RNAcentral lists this ribosomal RNA (324 nucleotides) under uncultured eukaryote. Its description in RNAcentral is "partial 18S ribosomal RNA". It matches the Rfam family "Eukaryotic small subunit ribosomal RNA", at positions 1470 to 1796 of the family's 1831-position model. The record is from RNAcentral.